GUGGGGAAUAUUGGACAAUGGGCGCAAGCCUGAUCCAGCAAUGCCGCGUGGGUGAAGAAGGUCUUCGGAUCGUAAAGCCCUUUCGACAGGGACGAUGAUGACGGUACCUGUAGAAGAAGCCCCGGCUAACUUCGUGCCAGCAGCCUCGGUAAUACGAAGGGGGCUAGCGUUACUCGGAAUUACUGGGCGUAAAGGGCGCGUAGGCGGCUCUGUUAGUCAGGCGUGAAAUUCCUGGGCUUAACCUGGGGACUGCGCUUGAUACUGCAGGGCUUGAGGCCGAGAGAGGGUGGUGGAAUUCCCAGUGUAGAGGUGAAAUUCGUAGAUAUUGGGAAGAACACCGGUGGCGAAGGCGACCACCUGGCUCGGUUCUGACGCUGAGGCGCGACAGCGUGGGGAGCAAACAGGAUUAGAAACCCGUGUAGUCC
This 425-nucleotide ribosomal RNA is filed under the name uncultured bacterium. RNAcentral's name for it is "partial 16S ribosomal RNA". It matches the Rfam family "Bacterial small subunit ribosomal RNA", at positions 354 to 796 of the family's 1533-position model. The record is from RNAcentral.